GAUGAACGCUAGCUACAGGCUUAACACAUGCAAGUCGAGGGGAAACGACAUCGAAAGCUUGCUUUUGAUGGGCGUCGACCGGCGCACGGGUGAGUAACGCGUAUCCAACCUGCCCACCACUUGGGGAUAACCUUGCGAAAGUAAGACUAAUACCCAAUGAUAUCUCUAGAAGACAUCUGAAAGAGAUUAAAGAUUUAUCGGUGAUGGAUGGGGAUGCGUCUGAUUAGCUUGUUGGCGGGGUAACGGCCCACCAAGGCGACGAUCAGUAGGGGUUCUGAGAGGAAGGUCCCCCACAUUGGAACUGAGACACGGUCCAAACUCCUACGGGAGGCAGCAGUGAGGAAUAUUGGUCAAUGGGCGAGAGCCUGAACCAGCCAAGUAGCGUGCAGGAUGACGGCCCUAUGGGUUGUAAACUGCUUUUAUAAGGGAAUAAAGUUAGUCUCGUGAGACUUUUUGCAUGUACCUUAUGAAUAAGGACCGGCUAAUUCCGUG
This 492-nucleotide ribosomal RNA is filed under the name uncultured bacterium. RNAcentral describes it as "bacterial SSU rRNA". It matches the Rfam family "Bacterial small subunit ribosomal RNA", at positions 28 to 507 of the family's 1533-position model. The record is from RNAcentral.